Molecule: long non-coding RNA, 1330 nt
Organism: Mastomys coucha (southern multimammate mouse)
Lineage: Eukaryota; Metazoa; Chordata; Mammalia; Rodentia; Muridae
Exons: 2
Source: RefSeq, a predicted model, not a curated record
CCAGUACUCACCAACACUUAUUUCAGUUCUUGGGGUUAGUCAGUCUGAUUGAGAUGAGGUGAAAUUGGAAAUACAUUCUGUCUGCAUUUCCUGGUGGUUGAGAGAGACCGGAAAAUUACACCCAUGCUGCCACUCAAGUUUCUGGAAGGUUACUGGAGAUCAUGUACCUUAGAGUCCAGGAAAGAGUAAUCAAAGGACUGUGUGAGCCUCCCCCUGUCUGAGGGAGCAAUGGACCCCUUUGGUACACACCCUGGCCUGCAAGACUGUGUGACAAUCUCCUCCCUUUUCUCCCAGAGCCCCAGAAAGAGAUGGUAGCACUUAUUAUGGGAUUUGUUGUACACCAUGUGGCUUGUAUAAUUCUGAGAUAGAAAAUGCUGGAAACCCCGUGUUCUGGUGACAUCACAUUUUCAGCCCUCAGGAGUGAUUCUUCUGUUAUAGAAGGCAACCUCCUCAGUUCAUAUCUCAGAAGUCACACCUGGACACUGGUCCCUCAAACUUUCACCAUGGUCACUGGUAGUCCCUGUUUUUCAAUUUUCCCCUAACUGUAGGUACACACACAUUUUAGCAUCUCCUCAGUCUGCAUCAUCAGUCACCAAAGACCAUAUUGACAAAAUCUCUGCCCUUGGAGCCCCCUGGAGUCCGGAGUAGCCUAGACAGAGUUCUGACCAUCUGUACUUUGGAAAUCCUUGAGCCUUCCUUCUGUUCUGUGAAGAAAUGUAGAUUUAUCAGCCUGAGAAAGUUAAAUUCACUCAAUUUUUUCUCUGGGUUAUGAUAUUUAUCUUCUCCAAAGUCUGAAAAUAUGGGGCCAACAGAAACUUCAAAAUCUAUCAGGAGCCCCUGGAACAAGUUGGUUGGACAGAGCUCAGAACAUCUCUACUCCAGUUGCAAUCAGAGUAUGCUAGACCUCUUUUCAGUAAUGUACUUCAAGGAGAGCUUCCCUCAAGCAAAGGCUUCCAUAGCUACAGUGCAUUUGAAAACCUCCAGGUUAAAUUAUCUCUGAGGUUCUAAGGCUCAGGAUGCUAAUUUCACUCCAAACCUCACUGUUUCACAUAGCAGGGACCAAACACCAUCUCUUUGGUUUUAGAGAAGAGAAAUCAGCCCAGUCUAUUUUCCCACACAUUUUACCUGACAUUUGGAAAGAUGCUGAUGGAGCUAAGACAUCAUCUGACCUGAAGAGCAUCCUUUGAUGGGAUAAAGUCACCAAUGAUGUCUACUUAGACACCAACUGCACAAAGAGCUACUGGAACCAAAUGUUAGCUCACCACCACAUGGGACUAUUUAAAUCUAAACUAAUUAAAAAUAAAUAAAACAUAAAUUACAGGUUUAUAGC